CCGCGCCCGCCACCUGAGAGCCAAGGUUUUCUGGUCUGUGCGAAUUGAAUCUGGUCGUGCCGCUGGCCCCUGGGCCACCGCCAUGCGCAUCAGAGAUACCGACGGUCUAAAGCGUCCGUGCAGGUCUCGCGCAGUUUCCGAGCUGAGCAAUCGGUCCGGCGACGUAGAUAGCACGAUAGGUCG
This 183-nucleotide non-coding RNA is filed under the name Pseudomonas sp. CF161. RNAcentral describes it as "RT-15 RNA". It matches the Rfam family "RT-15 RNA". From Rfam's summary of the family: Proteobacteria. Nearby to self-splicing intron genes Lineage: Bacteria; Pseudomonadati; Pseudomonadota; Gammaproteobacteria; Pseudomonadales; Pseudomonadaceae. The record is from Rfam by way of RNAcentral.